RNAcentral lists this RNase P RNA (405 nucleotides) under Candidatus Omnitrophota bacterium. RNAcentral describes it as "Candidatus Omnitrophica bacterium RNase P RNA component class A". It matches the Rfam family "Bacterial RNase P class A". From Rfam's summary of the family: Ribonuclease P (RNase P) is a ubiquitous endoribonuclease, found in archaea, bacteria and eukarya as well as chloroplasts and mitochondria. Its best characterised activity is the generation of mature 5'-ends of tRNAs by cleaving the 5'-leader elements of precursor-tRNAs. Lineage: Bacteria; Pseudomonadati; Candidatus Omnitrophota. The record is from RNAcentral.
GGGUUCUUUUGGAUGAUCGCGGCUGCUUGAAAAAGCAGUCGAGGAAAGUCCGAGCUUCAGAGGGCAGCGUAGUGGGUAAUACCCAUCCUUUGAUGAGAUACUCAUCAAAGCGGAUCUCUGCUAAAAACCUUAGCAGACCCACCCAAGCUUAUUGCGUAGGUGGGAGAGCCACAGAGACGAGUCUCGCAACACGGAAAUCGUGUUGCGAGGGUGAAACGCGGCAAUCUCUACGUGAAGAAAAGCCAAAUAGGACGAAAAUCCUUCUUCGGAAGGGGGAAGUGCCCACUUCCUUUAGAUUCGUCGGGUAGGCUGCUUGAGUCCCCGAGUAAUUGGGGACCUAGAUAGAUGAUCAUCCCAGUUUCAAUCGAGACUGGACAGAACUCGGCUUAAAGAAAGAGCCCUUUC